GACGAACGCUGGCGGCGUGCUUAACACAUGCAAGUCGAACGGAAAGGCCCUGCUUUUGUGGGGUGCUCGAGUGGCGAACGGGUGAGUAACACGUGAGUAACCUGCCCUUGACUUUGGGAUAACUUCAGGAAACUGGGGCUAAUACCGGAUAGGGGCUCCUGCUGCAUGGUGGGGGUUGGAAAGUUUCGGCGGUUGGGGAUGGACUCGCGGCUUAUCAGCUUGUUGGUGGGGUAGUGGCUUACCAAGGCUUUGACGGGUAGCCGGCCUGAGAGGGUGACCGGCCACAUUGGGACUGAGAUACGGCCCAGACUCCUACGGGAGGCAGCAGUGGGGAAUAUUGCACAAUGGGCGGAAGCCUGAUGCAGCAACGCCGCGUGCGGGAUGACGGCCUUCGGGUUGUAAACCGCUUUCGCCUGUGACGAAGCGUGAGUGACGGUAAUGGGUAAAGAAGCACCGGCUAACUACGUGCCAGCAGCCGCGGUGAUACGUAGGGUGCGAGCGUUGUCCGGAUUUAUUGGGCGUAAAGGGCUCGUAGGUGGUUGAUCGCGUCGGAAGUGUAAUCUUGGGGCUUAACCCUGAGCGUGCUUUCGAUACGGGUUGACUUGAGGAAGGCAGGGGAGAAUGGAAUUCCUGGUGGAGCGGUGGAAUGCGCAGAUAUCAGGAGGAACACCAGUGGCGAAGGCGGUUCUCUGGGCCUUUCCUGACGCUGAGGAGCGAAAGCGUGGGGAGCGAACAGGCUUAGAUACCCUGGUAGUCCACGCUGUAAACGGUGGGUACUAGGUGUGGGGUCCAUUCCACGGGUUCCGUGCCGUAGCUAACGCUUUAAGUACCCCGCCUGGGGAGUACGGCCGCAAGGCUAAAACUCAAAGGAAUUGACGGGGCCCCGCACAAGCGGCGGAGCAUGCGGAUUAAUUCGAUGCAACGCGUAGAACCUUACCUGGGUUUGACAUGGAUCGGGAGUGCUCAGAGAUGGGUGUGCCUCUUUUGGGGUCGGUUCACAGGUGGUGCAUGGCUGUCGUCAGCUCGUGUCGUGAGAUGUUGGGUUAAGUCCCGCAACGAGCGCAACCCUUGUUCACUGUUGCCAGCACGUUAUGGUGGGGACUCAGUGGAGACCGCCGGGGUCAACUCGGAGGAAGGUGGGGAUGACGUCAAGUCAUCAUGCCCCUUAUGUCCAGGGCUUCACGCAUGCUACAAUGGCUGGUACAGAGAGUGGCGAGCCUGUGAGGGUGAGCGAAUCUCGGAAAGCCGGUCUCAGUUCGGAUUGGGGUCUGCAACUCGACCUCAUGAAGUCGGAGUCGCUAGUAAUCGCAGAUCAGCAACGCUGCGGUGAAUACGUUCCCGGG
This 1343-nucleotide ribosomal RNA is filed under the name uncultured bacterium. RNAcentral describes it as "16S ribosomal RNA". It matches the Rfam family "Bacterial small subunit ribosomal RNA", at positions 28 to 1378 of the family's 1533-position model. The record is from RNAcentral.